Capsicum annuum is the source of this 774-nucleotide long non-coding RNA. RefSeq lists it as uncharacterized. The record is from RefSeq and is a predicted model, not a curated record. NCBI's taxonomy places the organism in Eukaryota, Viridiplantae, Streptophyta, Magnoliopsida, Solanales, Solanaceae. The transcript is spliced from 2 exons.
UAUAAAAGGCAUGCAUAUAUUUCCAUUUCUGAUAGAGGAGAACAAUAUGCAUAUAUUUCCAUUUCUGAUAGAGGAGAACAAUACACAAUAAAAGUCUUGCAAUCUGUUUCUUUGUUUCUUCCGUUAUGUUAUUUCAUAACACGUUAUUAGCACGAGACUCAGUGAAAUAAGGUAUAUUUUGUGUAGGUUCAGAGACACGAGUUCGAGAUCCAGAGCAGCAGUAGUAUUCUAGCUUCCAGUACCCAGCAGUUAGAGUUUUAGCAGUGAGUCCUCAUUCUCCGAGGAUAUGAUAUUAUUUUAUCAUUUCAAUAUUUAGUUUCUUUCAGUAGUGGAGUUAGUUGGGGACAUGUCCCAUCAACUCCUUAUUCAGACAGUAGAGGAUUUCAGACUAGAUGCAGACUAGAGUUCCGAGCACCAGGCUUGGGGCAUUACACUGUCGAAGAAUGUCGACGAAAAAACGAUUGGCCAAAAUGGCAAGAGGCGAUUCAAUUUGAAUUGACUCACUUGCUACACGAGAGACUUUUGACUUGCAGUCCAAACCUCAAAUGAUGUAAAACUAGUUGGCUAUAAAUGGGUCUUCGAACGUAAAAGUAAUGAGAAAAAUAAAAUUGAAAGAUACAAGACAUGCCUUGUUGCACAAGGAUUCUCUUAAAGACCCGGUAUUGACUAUGAAGAAACAUAUUCACCUAUCAUGGAUGCAAGAACGUUUCGAUACCUCAUCGAUCUAUCUGUACAUGAAAAUCUUGAAAUCCAUCUAAUGAAUAUGGUUACAGC